This 564-nucleotide ribosomal RNA is filed under the name uncultured bacterium. Its description in RNAcentral is "bacterial SSU rRNA". It matches the Rfam family "Bacterial small subunit ribosomal RNA", at positions 338 to 916 of the family's 1533-position model. The record is from RNAcentral.
CCUACGGGAGGCAGCAGUGGGGAAUUUUCCGCAAUGGGCGAAAGCCUGACGGAGCAACGCCGCGUGAGGGAUGAAGGCCUCUGGGCUGUAAACCUCUUUUAUCAAGGAAGAAGAUCUGACGGUACUUGAUGAAUAAGCCACGGCUAAUUCCGUGCCAGCAGCCGCGGUAAUACGGGAGUGGCAAGCGUUAUCCGGAAUUAUUGGGCGUAAAGCGUCCGCAGGCGGUCUUGUAAGUCUGUCGUUAAAGCGUGGAGCUUAACUCCAUUUCGGCGGUGGAAACUACAAGACUAGAGUGUGGUAGGGGCAGAGGGAAUUCCCGGUGUAGCGGUGAAAUGCGUAGAUAUCGGGAAGAACACCAGCGGCGAAGGCGCUCUGCUGGGCCAUAACUGACGCUCAUGGACGAAAGCUAGGGGAGCGAAAGGGAUUAGAUACCCCUGUAGUCCUAGCCGUAAACGAUGAACACUAGGUNUCGGGGGAAUCGACCCCCUCGGUGUCGUAGCUAACGCGUUAAGUGUUCCGCCUGGGGAGUACGCACGCAAGUGUGAAACUCAAAUGAAUUGACGG